AUACGUAGGGGGCGAGCGUUGUCCGGAUUUACUGGGCGUAAAGGGUGAGUAGGCGGUUAUAUGUGUCAGAUGUAAAAGGCGUAGGCUCAACUUACGUUAGCAUUUGAAACUGUAUAACUUGAGUGCAGGAGAGGUAAGUGGAAUUCCUAGUGUAGCGGUGAAAUGCGUAGAUAUUAGGAGGAACACCAGUAGCGAAGGCGGCUUUCUGGACUGUAACUGACACUGAGGCACGAAAGCGUGGGGAGC
This 246-nucleotide ribosomal RNA is filed under the name uncultured bacterium. RNAcentral's name for it is "partial 16S ribosomal RNA". It matches the Rfam family "Bacterial small subunit ribosomal RNA", at positions 523 to 769 of the family's 1533-position model. The record is from RNAcentral.